Non-coding RNA from Brachypodium distachyon (stiff brome), 125 nucleotides. Lineage: Eukaryota; Viridiplantae; Streptophyta; Magnoliopsida; Poales; Poaceae. The record is from Rfam.
UGAUUACUCCCUCCGUCCCAUAUCAAGUGACUCAAAUAUGCCCAAAUACGGAUGUAUCUAUGCCUAAAAAGCGUUUAAAUACAUGUAAUAGAAAGUCACUUAAUAUGGGACGGAGGGAGUAUUAU